Molecule: ribosomal RNA, 200 nt
Filed under: uncultured bacterium
Lineage: Bacteria
Description: partial 16S ribosomal RNA
Rfam family: Bacterial small subunit ribosomal RNA
Source: RNAcentral
AGAGUUUGAUCAUGGCUCAGGACUAACGCUGGCGGCGUGCCUAACACAUGCAAGUCGAACGAAGUAGCAAUACUUAGUGGCAGACGGGUGAGUAACACGUAGUCAACCUACCUUUUAGUGGGGGAUAACUAGCCGAAAGGUUAGCUAAUACCGCAUACGAUCGUCGCGUGGCAUCACAUGACGAUGAAAGGAGCAAUCCG